UUUAACAGUAGUUUUCACGUGCAUUCCGCUUCUCCAAAAUUUUUUGACAGAUUGCGCGUGAUUUACGCAACGCAGAUGUGCAAAUUGACAGAUGCUGACACGUCUCGAUAAAGCAGAGGCCUCUUUAAUAUCCGGAAUUUACGCUUCGAGUUCUGAGCUUCGUUGAGGGCAGAGAUUGCAUGUGACAAGUGCUGACGAGGCUGAGAGAGACAGAUGGUUGGAAUCGGUGCUUCGACAGACUGCCCGUAAUUUUCGCAAAGCUGAGUUGCGUGUGAUGGGUGCUGACGAGGCUGAGACAGUUGACACUCUUCGGUAUCUG
RNAcentral lists this long non-coding RNA (319 nucleotides) under Malus domestica (apple). RNAcentral's name for it is "long non-coding RNA (MDOM_LNC013196)". Lineage: Eukaryota; Viridiplantae; Streptophyta; Magnoliopsida; Rosales; Rosaceae. The record is from RNAcentral.